AUUGUUUUAUUUUAUUUUACUCAGCAUUGAGAAGUUGCAUAGACCAGAGAUCCUCCAUGCUCCAAUAAUUGUCAUUGGAAUUAUCAGUUGGGGGCAUAGGCACUGAGAAAGCAUCAAUGUUUUGAGAAUAAGUUGGAGGAGAAUAGGUUUCCAUUGGAUCCAUUGUGUAUGAAACUUGGCAGCUACUUGAACUUGCAGCUUGUUCA
Molecule: unclassified non-coding RNA, 206 nt
Filed under: Hevea brasiliensis (rubber tree)
Lineage: Eukaryota; Viridiplantae; Streptophyta; Magnoliopsida; Malpighiales; Euphorbiaceae
Source: RNAcentral